Molecule: ribosomal RNA, 462 nt
Filed under: uncultured bacterium
Lineage: Bacteria
Description: bacterial SSU rRNA
Rfam family: Bacterial small subunit ribosomal RNA
Source: RNAcentral
GAUGAACGCUGGCGGCGUGCUUAACACAUGCAAGUCGAACGGGAUCCCAGGAGCUUGCUCCUGGGUGAGAGUGGCGAACGGGUGAGUAAUGCGUGACCGACCUGCCCCAUACACCGGAAUAGCUCCUGGAAACGGGUGGUAAUGCCGGAUGCUCCAGUUGGAUGCAUGUCCUUCUGGGAAAGAUUCAUCGGUAUGGGAUGGGGUCGCGUCCUAUCAGGUAGUCGGCGGGGUAACGGCCCACCGAGCCUACGACGGGUAGCCGGCCUGAGAGGGCGACCGGCCACAUUGGGACUGAGAUACGGCCCAGACUCCUACGGGAGGCAGCAGUGGGGAAUAUUGCACAAUGGGCGCAAGCCUGAUGCAGCGACGCCGCGUGCGGGAUGACGGCCUUCGGGUUGUAAACCGCUUUUGACUGGGAGCAAGCCCUUCGGGGUGAGUGUACCUUUCGAAUAAGCACCGGCU